UAACAAGGAUUCCCCUAGUAACGGCGAGUGAAGAGGGAAGAGCCCAAGAUUGAAAGCUGGCGUCUUCGGCGUCCGCAUUGUAAUCUCAAGAAGUGUUUUCCGCUUCGGACCAAGCCUAAGUCCCUUGGAAAAGGGCAUCAUAGAGGGUGAUAAUCCCGUACAUGGCUUGGAGCGCCCGAAGCUUUGUGAUACGCUUUCUAAGAGUCGAGUUGUUUGGGAAUGCAGCUCAAAAUGGGUGGUAAAUUCCAUCUAAGGCUAAAUAUUGGGGAGAGACCGAUAGCGAACAAGUACAGUGAUGGAAAGAUGAAAAGAACUUUGAAAAGAGAGUUAAACAGUACGUGAAAUUGCCAAAAGGGAAGGGUAGGAGGUCAGAGAUGCGGCCUGGGAUUCAGCCUUGCUUUUGCUUGGUGUUUUUCCCAGAUUGCAGGCCAACGUCGGUUUUGGGCACUGGAGAAGGGUAGGAGGAACGUGGCACCUCUCGGGGUGUGUUAUAGCCUCCUACUGGAUACAGCGACCGAGACCGAGGACAGCAGCGUACUCGCAAGAGCGGGCCUUCGGGCACCUUUACGCUUAGGGCGUUGGCAUAAU
This 588-nucleotide ribosomal RNA is filed under the name Moesziomyces rugulosus. RNAcentral's name for it is "eukaryotic LSU rRNA". It matches the Rfam family "Eukaryotic large subunit ribosomal RNA", at positions 66 to 635 of the family's 3401-position model. The record is from RNAcentral. Lineage: Eukaryota; Fungi; Basidiomycota; Ustilaginomycetes; Ustilaginales; Ustilaginaceae.